UUGCAUUUCCAAUCUGGCAA
Molecule: microRNA, 20 nt
Filed under: Drosophila pseudoobscura pseudoobscura
Lineage: Eukaryota; Metazoa; Arthropoda; Insecta; Diptera; Drosophilidae
Description: mir-2567c-RB
Source: RNAcentral